GAAGAUUGUCAUAAUUUAUAUUUCAUAUUUAAAUAAGAAGAAUAAGAGUUAAAAGUAAUGUCUGGAGUAACCACUUGUCUGCAGUAUUUAAUCAGAGUAGGAGAAACAAUCUCUUGAAUAGAUGUGCAAGUGACUGCCUCUCCAAGGUGCCAUUCAAGAUAUUCAAAGGGAUAGGAUCAGGUUAAGUAUGGAAUAACAGAGGCAAGAUAGAAAUGCACUUGGAGGUAACUCAUUUUAUAUACAUGCAGCUGAGAAGCAUGUAUAUAAAAAACCAGGUGCAUCAAAAACCCACUGUCAUUGUUUCCUUUUUUUUUUUUUUUGGUAGCAUCGAUUGACUAAAUGUCUCUAGAGAAGAAAUGAGAGGAGUAAAAUCUGUGAAAAGAAUGUAACAAGGUCUAUAAAAUCCCUCCAGACUAACUGGGUUUAUAAUCUAAAUUAGAUUAACAAGGUCUAUACUUGAUGGAGGUUUCAAUUAGGCAAGAUCAAUUAUAACAACUGCACAGUCUCCACAACUUAAGAGGGGCAAAACCGUAUUAUACCUAAGUUACAUGUAACUAUAAUUAAUUUACCUUUCAUGGCAAGACUCUCAGAGACAGUAAAAUCUGACAACAGUAUUUUGGCAUCUUAAGAUUUCACAGAUGCUAUUUUUAUGAAUGUACUUGAGUUCCUAAUAGACACUUAUCCAUAUAAAAAUAUAGAGCUAAAUUGUAAGUAAUUUUUUUUCAAUUCAAGACAGCUAGAUAAAGGAACUGGCCAAUUGUUUUGCUUGCUUAAUCAUCUUUUUUUAUGCUUUGUGAAAGGAAUUCAUGGGAAUUAUAUCCCUUUCAAAGGCAGAAAAUUGUUUCACUUUAUUCCUUAUUUCUCUAUAAAUCAUAAUCUCUAAAAACAGAGGUUUCUCCCAUACUUAGAAAAACCUAAAGAAUAUGUUCAGUCAUACGUGAAUCUUUUAAAAAAAAAUUGAUCCUGUAUAUACAAUUGCAUUUCAAGGAGCUAUUCAAGAUUUAUACCAAUUUUCUA
Molecule: long non-coding RNA, 1017 nt
Filed under: Bos grunniens (domestic yak)
Lineage: Eukaryota; Metazoa; Chordata; Mammalia; Artiodactyla; Bovidae
Description: lncRNA (ENSBGRG00000008240.1)
Source: RNAcentral